AGUGAACGCUGGCGGUAGGCCUAACACAUGCAAGUCGAACGGCAGCACAGUAAGAGCUUGCUCUUACGGGUGGCGAGUGGCGGACGGGUGAGGAAUACAUCGGAAUCUACUUUUUCGUGGGGGAUAACGUAGGGAAACUUACGCUAAUACCGCAUACGACCUACGGGUGAAAGCAGGGGAUCUUCGGCCCUUGCGCGAUUGAAUGAGCCGAUGUCGGAUUAGCUAGUUGGCGGGGUAAAGGCCCACCAAGGCGACGAUCCGUAGCUGGUCUGAGAGGAUGAUCAGCCACACUGGAACUGAGACACGGUCCAGACUCCUACGGGAGGCAGCAGUGGGGAAUAUUGGACAAUGGGCGCAAGCCUGAUCCAGCCAUACCGCGUGGGUGAAGAAGGUCUUCGGGUUGUAAAGCCCUUUUGUUGGGAAAGAAAAGCAGCAGGUUAAUACCCCGCUGUUCUGACGUUACCCAAAGAAUAAGCACCGGCUAACUUCGUG
RNAcentral lists this ribosomal RNA (492 nucleotides) under uncultured bacterium. Its description in RNAcentral is "partial 16S ribosomal RNA". It matches the Rfam family "Bacterial small subunit ribosomal RNA", at positions 29 to 507 of the family's 1533-position model. The record is from RNAcentral.